UACAGAGGUCCCAAGCGUUGUUCGGAUUCAUUGGGCGUAAAGGGCGCGUAGGCGGCAAUUCAAGUCAUCUGUGAAAUCUCCGAGCUUAACUCGGAACGGUCAGAUGAUACUGCUUUGCUAGAGUGCAGAAGGGGCAAUCGGAAUUCCUGGUGUAGCGGUGAAAUGCGUAGAGAUCAGGAGGAACACCCGUGGCGAAGGCGGCCCUCUGGCUCGACCCUGACGCUGAGAGGCGAAAGCGUGGGGAGCGAACGGG
Molecule: ribosomal RNA, 253 nt
Filed under: uncultured bacterium
Lineage: Bacteria
Description: partial 16S ribosomal RNA
Rfam family: Bacterial small subunit ribosomal RNA
Source: RNAcentral